Podarcis muralis (Common wall lizard) is the source of this 391-nucleotide long non-coding RNA. RefSeq lists it as uncharacterized. The record is from RefSeq and is a predicted model, not a curated record. Lineage: Eukaryota; Metazoa; Chordata; Lepidosauria; Squamata; Lacertidae.
UGCAAACACCUCUUGUCACGCCGGAAACCAAUUUGGAUUUCACAGCACCUUAUCAAUAUAGUUUAAGUUAAUUCCUUUCUGAAGUCACAUUGCUAAAAGGCACAGAUCAAGUGACAAGGACUAAAUAACAAGAGAGUCUUGAAGCACCUUAAUGACUAAGGGUGGUAUCCAACAGUGAUGGUUUCCUGGAGGAAAGAAUCUAUCAGAGGAAUGGGAAGUGAACUUAGGGCAGCACACAUGGUUCUUCUCCAUCCACUUUACCAUCAGAACAGCCCUGAAGCUUCGGCUGAGAGAUGAUCAUGACCGAGUGGAGACUCGAACUUGGAUCUCCCGAGACCAUGUCUAACUCAGCAAUGGGGAACCUGUGGCCCUCCAUAUGUAGUUGGAGUUG